This 813-nucleotide ribosomal RNA is filed under the name uncultured Planctomycetota bacterium. Its description in RNAcentral is "bacterial SSU rRNA". It matches the Rfam family "Bacterial small subunit ribosomal RNA", at positions 68 to 883 of the family's 1533-position model. The record is from RNAcentral. Lineage: Bacteria; Pseudomonadati; Planctomycetota.
UCCCAGUCUGGUAGCAAUACCGGGCUGGGGGAAGUGGCGAAAGGGGCAGUAAGGCGUGGGUAACCUACCUCUGGGACGGGGAUAGCCCUCCUAACGGAGGGGUAAUACCCGGCGAGUUGAGCGGGGGGCAUCUCCUGCUCAGGAAAUGAAUUUCGCCUGGAGAGGGGCUCACGUGCUAUUAGCUUGUUGGCGGGGUAACGGCCCACCAAGGCAAAGAUGGCUAGCGGGUGUGAGAGCACGACCCGCGCCACUGGCACUGAGACACUGGCCAGACUCCUACGGGAGGCUGCAGUCGAGGAUCUUCGGCAAUGGGCGCAAGCCUGACCGAGCGACGCCGCGUGCGCGAUGAAGGCCUUCGGGUUGUAAAGCGCUGUCGAGGGGGAAGAAAACCCGCAAGGGUCUGACCUAUCCCUGGAGGAAGCACGGGCUAAGUUCGUGCCAGCAGCCGCGGUAAGACGAACCGUGCAAACGUUGUUCGGAAUCACUGGGCUUAAAGGGCGCGUAGGCGGGUUCCCAAGUCGGUGGUGAAAUCUUUCGGCCCAACCGGAAAAGUGCCGCCGAUACUGGGAGUCUCGAGGGAGGUAGGGGUCGAGGGAACUCUAGGUGGAGCGGUGAAAUGCGUAGAUAUCUGGAGGAACGCCGGUGGCGAAAGCGCUCGACUGGACCUCUUCUGACGCUGAGGCGCGAAAGCCAGGGGAGCAAACGGGAUUAGAUACCCCGGUAGUCCUGGCCCUAAACGAUGGGUACCAGAUUGUGGACUGGACAUGGGUUCACAGUCGAGGCAAAGUGUUAAGUACCCCGCCCGGGGAGUAU